UACGGAGGAUCCAAGCGUUAUCCGGAAUCAUUGGGUUUAAAGGGUGCGUAGGCGGCGCGGUAAGUCGGGUGUGAAAUCUCGGGGCUUAACUCCGAAACUGCAUUCGAUACUGCCGUGCUUGAGGACUGGAGAGGAGACUGGAAUUUACGGUGUAGCGGUGAAAUGCGUAGAUAUCGUAAGGAAGACCAGUGGCGAAGGCGGGUCUCUGGACAGUUCCUGACGCUGAGGCACGAAGGCCAGGGGAGCAAACGGG
This 253-nucleotide ribosomal RNA is filed under the name uncultured bacterium. Its description in RNAcentral is "partial 16S ribosomal RNA". It matches the Rfam family "Bacterial small subunit ribosomal RNA", at positions 524 to 776 of the family's 1533-position model. The record is from RNAcentral.